AAGGGGUUCUUGUUGGGAGUUUAUUGUAAUUAUUUUUAAAAACCGGUGUUUUCCACCUGGAAGAAACAAACUAGAGGGGCCGGCUAAUGAGGGAACUUAGGUUUGCAAAACACCAUAAAUAAUUCAUUAUUGUAUUUCAAGGGAAAAAAAUAGCUUUCUUAAAUCAUCCCUGUAAUAUAAAUGGCAGACUUACAGUAUGGUCCUGGUAAGUCUAAAUUUUUAAAGGAGCAAUAUUCAAAGAGACAUAGAUGUCUGUAUUAAUUAUUUAUUCGCCGGUGCCUUCCUUCGUUUCUGACUUAUUAUUAAUUAGGCGCCUCUAGUCUUUCACAGAGCGCUCCACUGAGCCGGUUACAGCUUUAAAUAUGAAUUAAAAGCAAAUCCAAGCUACUGUAAUGCGAAAAUUAUUCCGUGUCUUGCAUGGCAGAGAUGAAUAGCCGCGCGGAUCAAUACCGUGAAACUCGGCUCCCAACGACAAGGUUAUUGAUAGUUCAUAGUAAUGACAUUAAUGAUGGAAAAAGGGAACAACCACCCACCCGCCAUGGAAACUUUUUAAGCCACUGAAACCCCGCAAUAAAAACGGGAAGGGGGCAGGAAUUGGGCUUAAGUGUAAGAAGAAAAUUAUUUAUGAAACCCGGAUAAAUGACUUCGGAACCUUGAUGCAUUUGAACCUAACGCUCUUGGCUUCUGGCGGCCCUGGCUCCAGCUGGGGAGACCGCGAAAACCCCAAGCCAUGGAGGGCUGGGGGGGCCGGAUAAGCUACAGCAGUCUCAGCCUCCGGUGUGCUGCUUGGAGAACCUCUGCUCGGUUCUCCGCUGGGAGAGCCCUCUGGAGGCGCCGAAGGCAGAAGAUUCUGGAAGUGGGCGAAGGAGACCGACGCGUGAAGCUGGGCCCCAGUGUCCAGGAGGGGACAGGAGGCCGCACCUCUGCGGCCAGUACUUCAGCCUAGGUUUUUCCUCUGGUUAGCUUGGCACUGGUCCCCUAAGCGGGGUCAAACGCUGCGGCCUCCUGGGGACCAGGGGGUGCUGGACACAUCUGUAGCGCGCAGCUCACCCGGGACCUAGGGAUGGGAUAGCUGUUCGAGACCCCUCAGGCAGCCUAGGCUGCGCAACCUUUGCUUCCUACUGCACCCCAGGGCUGCUCUGCGAUGCUGAGAACUCUAGGCAUACAGAGCAGGCAGGCUCAGGUCUUCACCCACAUCGGGUCCUCUGCGGCCACUGAGGCUGCCAGCCCCGGCAUCGACCUCCCUGUCCCCUAGCUGAGGCCACAGCUAGGGGGAAGGCAGGCAGCGGGGGAUACGAAAGGUUACAUCCUGACCCUGGGAGGCUGCUAGAAAGGUCAGAGCCCAAGGGACAGUUGCAAACUCGUGGUCCCCUCCUCCCCUCUGCAAGGAGCUCAGUCGCCCGGUCCCCUCCUCCCCACCCCACAGCACGAGGACAGGCCUCUGAGGGCAGAGGUCGUGGUGACCCUGACAGCCACGGGAAGGGCUGCCCAGCCGCUGCGGGUUGCUGAGGGUAGUCAGGCAGGCUGGCGAUUCUGGUGCAUCCUGGCUUAAGUGUUUUGGGUUAGAGCGGGAAGUUGCGACUUUUGCUCUGGCGCCGAAAGGGGCAAGAGGACGUCCGGUGCUGGGGGCAGGUGGGUCGAUCAUAGUUUUCUUCAGAAAUAGGGAUGAUAUAUUUUUGUCUAUUUGGUCUCUUAAUACACUCUCCCUUCUUUCCUCCUUCUCUCCCUUUCCCCGUUUCCUUUCCAACACAAUCUUUCAUUCUUUUCAUCCUACAUCCUCUCUUCCAGUUUUUUUCCUCCAUCCUUCCCUCCUUUUUCUCUCUCCUACCUCCAGUCUUGUUUCUUGCUCCUAGCUUCCUGCACUCCUCCACCUCCUUCGGCGGCGUCUGUACCCCUUGGCGGUCAAAGUAAAAGGUAUCAGUCAUUUUGAGCACCAAUACCAAGGAAUCCCUUCCCCCCCCCCUUUUUGAAGGAGGGGCAGGUGAGCAAAGGGCCUACCUGCGCUUCCGUGGUCCCUUGCUGUUGCCUGACCCCCUUGACGUUUCUCAGCUAGAUUUUUACUACUGCCAAGGUUCGUCUGGCUGGAGCUCAGGCUUGCCAUCAUUUGGGAAGAGUUUCUAGGGCCUCGUAGCCUCAUGCUGACGCCAGACUUCAGCAAGACUUCUGCGUGCUUGUUUUUAUUUUACUUUAUUUUAUUAAUUAAAGGGGAAAAUCGAAAUGAAUCUCAGAGGCUCUAACUACUAAAAUCACCACCUGAGCCUUAGCUCUAUUUCAGGACAUAAGGGUGGCUAAGUUGAAACCCGUCUUGCGAUAGUUAGACCAAACCCAAACUUCCUGCUUUGGAGAAAAAUCUCUUUUGAGGUCCACUAUGAAGUUUGUGUUUCAGAGUAGCAACACCCCCUAUUGGAUCCACGGGCCCCAUUCCCACAGGGUAAACAGAGAAUGAGUCUUUUCAGAAAGGAAACACAACAGACUGC
RNAcentral lists this long non-coding RNA (2477 nucleotides) under Mus musculus (house mouse). RNAcentral describes it as "predicted gene 28182". The record is from RNAcentral. Lineage: Eukaryota; Metazoa; Chordata; Mammalia; Rodentia; Muridae.